UGAGGAAUAUUGGUCAAUGGACGCGAGUCUGAACCAGCCAAGUAGCGUGAAGGAUGACUGCCCUAUGGGUUGUAAACUUCUUUUAUAUGGGAAUAAAGUGGUCCACGUGUGGAUUUUUGUAUGUACCAUAUGAAUAAGGAUCGGCUAAC
Molecule: ribosomal RNA, 149 nt
Filed under: uncultured bacterium
Lineage: Bacteria
Description: partial 16S rRNA
Rfam family: Bacterial small subunit ribosomal RNA
Source: RNAcentral